UUAAAUUGAAGAGUUUGAUCAUGGCUCAGAUUGAACGCUGGCGGCAGGCCUAACACAUGCAAGUCGAACGGUAACAGGAAGCAGCUUGCUGCUUCGCUGACGAGUGGCGGACGGGUGAGUAAUGUCUGGGAAACUGCCUGAUGGAGGGGGAUAACUACUGGAAACGGUGGCUAAUACCGCAUAACGUCGCAAGAC
RNAcentral lists this ribosomal RNA (195 nucleotides) under Salmonella enterica subsp. enterica serovar Infantis. Its description in RNAcentral is "partial 16S ribosomal RNA". It matches the Rfam family "Bacterial small subunit ribosomal RNA", at positions 1 to 187 of the family's 1533-position model. The record is from RNAcentral. Lineage: Bacteria; Pseudomonadati; Pseudomonadota; Gammaproteobacteria; Enterobacterales; Enterobacteriaceae. RNAcentral also lists the same sequence under 1 other name.